This 253-nucleotide ribosomal RNA is filed under the name uncultured bacterium. Its description in RNAcentral is "partial 16S ribosomal RNA". It matches the Rfam family "Bacterial small subunit ribosomal RNA", at positions 524 to 776 of the family's 1533-position model. The record is from RNAcentral.
UACGGGGGGGGCAAGCGUUGUUCGGAAUUACUGGGCGUAAAGGGCUCGUAGGUGGCCAACUAAGUCAGACGUGAAAUCCCCAGGCUUAACCUGGGAACUGCGUCUGAUACUGGAUGGCUAGAGUUUGGGAGAGGGAUGCGGAAUUCCAGGUGUAGCGGUGAAAUGCGUAGAUAUCAGGAGGAACACCGAUGGCGAAGGCAGCUCGCUGGGACGGUACUGACGCUGAGGCGCGAAAGCGUGGGGAGCAAACAGG